UUUUUGGAAAGUAAAAAUCGUAACAAGGUUUUGCUGAGCGAUCAGUCUUUCUGUAGCAGAGCUUAACGGAGACCUUGCACCUGAGAGGGGGGAGGCGACUAUAAACAAGCUUCUAGCGCAAGUCAGCACUUGCUGCCAACACAAUCGAAUUGCGGGGACGCUUUAAAGCCUACCAGUACCAAACAGCACCCGGCACGGCGGGGGCUGGGCGAGCGUAGCUCGAGGUGACAACCGUGGGAAGGAUGCCACAAUAAGCAAUCCGCAGCGGCUCCGGCCGUCCACAGACUAAGUGGUUUGUGGGUAGGGAGAACCCUAUCUAAGAUAUAGUCGGGCCCGUGUGAGAAGAUAAUGUCGUAACAAGGUCUCGGUAGGUGACCCUGCGGAGGAUCCUUUACAAGUGACCCCGGUUUUACCACCGGCCCGUUCAUAACCCUUUGUUGUCUGAGUGUGUUGCCUCGGGGGGGGCCCUCCCUUCGGGCGUCGGGCUCGGGGGUGGACACUCCAAACUCCAGCGUAACUACCCAGUCGGAGUAAAUUAAUUAAUAAAUUAAUACUUUUAACAACGGAUGUCUUGCUUGGGUCAUCGAUGAAGAAAGCAGCGAAAUAAAUUAAGUAAGUAAUAUGAAAGAAUGCAUUGAAUCAUUGAUUCUUUGAACGCACAUUGCGCCCCCUGGUAUUCAGUCGGCCAUGCCUGUUCGAGCGUCAUUUCACCACUCCAGCCUCGCUUGGUAUUGGGCAACGCGGUCCGCCGUGUGCCUCAAAUCGACCGGGUGGGUCUUCUGUCCCCUUAGCGUUGUGGAAACUAUUCGCUAAAGGGUGUUCGGGACGGCUACGCCCGUAAGAACACACCCCAUUUCUCAGGUGACCUCGGAUCACGUGAGGUCCCUGU
This 889-nucleotide ribosomal RNA is filed under the name Cladosporium flabelliforme. Its description in RNAcentral is "partial 18S ribosomal RNA". The stretch from base 552 to 705 matches the Rfam family "5.8S ribosomal RNA". Lineage: Eukaryota; Fungi; Ascomycota; Dothideomycetes; Cladosporiales; Cladosporiaceae. The record is from RNAcentral.